AACCUCAGUCAGCUUUAAACUCUCUGAAACAUGAUUCAACAUGUAAGAAAACAUUCAGCUGCUCUGAGUGUGGGAAAAGAUUUAGCCAAAAUGGAAACCUGAAGAAACACAUGAGAACUCACACAGGAGAAAAACCUUUCAGCUGCUCUGAGUGUGGUAAAGCUUUCUCUGAUAGUGGAGCCCUGAAGACACACAUAAGAACUCACACAGGAGAAAGACCUUUUAGCUGCUCAGUUUGUAAUAAAUCUUUUACACAGAGAGGAAGUUUACGGUCACACAUGGCAGUCCACACAGGAGAGAAAAGAUUCAGCUGCAGUGUUUGUAACAAAAGAUUUUCCUGGUGUUCUGAUGUCAAAAGACAUAAAUGUGUUGGUCAGAUGGAAACAGAAGCUGAUGGAGAGGACUGUGGAGGACCAGAACCAGACAGGAACUCACAUCCACUUUUACAACCAGAGACUGAAGACCAGACUGGAGACUCUUCUGAUCCUGAGACUGGUGACAUGGAAUAAUGUUUGUGCAUUGUCGAAGCAAAACAAAAAGUAUCAAACAAAAAUCUUCAUGUAUUAACAUCUAGAUAGAAUACAUUAUAUUGUGUGGUAAGAAAAAGUACACUCUUAUUUUAAAUAUUUCAUUAUAGAUUGUUUUGUCUUGUAAUCUAAUAAAGUAAAGAAAUAUACUGGUUUGAUAUGACCGGUGUGGUCACCAGGACAUGCUGAGUACCCUCCAGAUGAAAUAAAGUGAAGUCAUUUGAAGUAAACCAUCUGUUGACUAGCAUGUAUGUUAGUAGUUAUUGUCUGGGUCACAACGACCUAGGUGUACUUAAGAAAAGGAAGAUGAGAGGACUGUUAGAAGUAAAAAUAUCACCAGUUCAGGUCCAUCUAAAGAUGUAACUAACAUGAGGUAACUGUAGGCGUGAAUGUGUCCAACUGACACCGC
Sander lucioperca (pikeperch) is the source of this 936-nucleotide long non-coding RNA. RefSeq lists it as uncharacterized. NCBI's taxonomy places the organism in Eukaryota, Metazoa, Chordata, Actinopteri, Perciformes, Percidae. The record is from RefSeq and is a predicted model, not a curated record. The transcript has 2 exons.